GCCGGGUGUGGUGGCACACACCAGUAAUCCCAGUGGCUCGGGAGGCUGAGGCAGGAGGAUCAUGAGUUCAAAUCCAGCCUCAGCAAAAGUGAGGCACUAAGCAACUCAGUGAGACCCUGUCUCUA
This 125-nucleotide small RNA is filed under the name Marmota monax (woodchuck). Lineage: Eukaryota; Metazoa; Chordata; Mammalia; Rodentia; Sciuridae. The record is from RNAcentral.